Molecule: ribosomal RNA, 370 nt
Filed under: uncultured organism
Description: partial 16S ribosomal RNA
Rfam family: Bacterial small subunit ribosomal RNA
Source: RNAcentral
GUAGGUGGCAAGCGUUGUCCGGAAUUAUUGGGCGUAAAGCGCGCGCAGGCGGUUCUUUAAGUCUGAUGUGAAAGCCCACGGCUCAACCGUGGAGGGUCAUUGGAAACUGGAGAACUUGAGUACAGAAGAGGAAAGCGGAAUUCCACGUGUAGCGGUGAAAUGCGUAGAGAUGUGGAGGAACACCAGUGGCGAAGGCGGCUUUCUGGUCUGUAACUGACGCUGAGGCGCGAAAGCGUGGGGGAGCAAACAGGAUUAGAUACCCUGGUAGUCCACGCCGUAAACGAUGAGUGCUAAGUGUUAGGGGGUUUCCGCCCCUUAGUGCUGCGGCUAACGCAUUAAGCACUCCGCCUGGGAUACGGCCGCAAGGCUG